CUUGGUGUUGCAUGUGCCUUGUUUGUGCAUGAGUGAAGGCAAAAACGAGUCACAUGUGAUAGAAGGCAAGUGGGGGCACUUUGGUCUUUUCACAGCUGUCCAAGAUCCUCAAGAUUUUGUACAUUAAGUCCAAGAGAUUGCCCAUACACUAAUGAGGAAGGUGGAGCCUUCUUUGGAAACUUGAAUGAAGUGGGAAACAUGUGAUCUUUGGAUUUGGCUUCCUUAAUAAGCUUGAUCUUUGAGAUCCAAUAUUUGAAUGUGAAUCUUGAAGAUUUGGAUCUCAAGAUAUUUCCCUUAUUUGGCUCCUCAAAUAUGGCAACUUGGGAUAUGGCUUCU
This 336-nucleotide long non-coding RNA is filed under the name Manihot esculenta (cassava). RNAcentral's name for it is "long non-coding RNA (MESC_LNC004768)". Lineage: Eukaryota; Viridiplantae; Streptophyta; Magnoliopsida; Malpighiales; Euphorbiaceae. The record is from RNAcentral.